RNAcentral lists this long non-coding RNA (606 nucleotides) under Oryctolagus cuniculus (rabbit). RNAcentral describes it as "lncRNA (ENSOCUG00000032953.1)". The record is from RNAcentral. Lineage: Eukaryota; Metazoa; Chordata; Mammalia; Lagomorpha; Leporidae.
AUGGAGAGUGGUGACAUUUCAAAAAGUAUACAAAAAGAACACAGAAUCCAUGUUGGGAUAUCUACACUCUCCAAAAUGAAAGCUCCUCAGGAAGCCAUUUCUAAAGAAUUGGAGGAAUCUAAGCAACUCCUUCUAGAGGGAUUUGAAGAUGUGAUAAGCAAACAAGAUGAGAUCAUUCAGGGUGUAGAAGCUUUUUCAAAGCAAGUGAAUGAAGCUAAUGAAGUGUUAGCAGAGGUCAGAACUAAAAAUUUUCUCCUGGAGAAACAACAGACUGGAACAUUAACCAAGUCUGUUUCUACGCAAACUGUUUCUACGCAAACUUCGGUAGCGUCACAUAGCGUUGGAAAUCGUGCUAAUAGUUUCUGGCUCAGCAGAGAUCUUACUCCACAACAAAACUUGGAGACUCCUACUUCAGCAACUCAGGCUUCACAUCACAACACUGCAGAGUCUUUGGACACGUUUGCCCUUCAGGAUCUUGACACCUCAACUUUAUGGGAAAGAUGUUUUCAGAUCAUUGAAAAAUAUAGGAGUCAAGAAAAUUUGCCUUCAUGCCAGAAUGAAGAUGUGGAAAGCACACCACAAUUUUAAGUAGCAAAUGAGAUGGAG